UACGAAGGGGGCUAGCGUUGCUCGGAAUCACUGGGCGUAAAGGGUGCGUAGGCGGGCCUUUAAGUCAGGGGUGAAAUCCUGGAGCUCAACUCCAGAACUGCCUUUGAUACUGAGGAUCUUGAGUCCGGGAGAGGUGAGUGGAACUGCGAGUGUAGAGGUGAAAUUCGUAGAUAUUCGCAAGAACACCAGUGGCGAAGGCGGCUCACUGGCCCGGUACUGACGCUGAGGAGCGAAAGCGUGGGGAGCGAACAGG
RNAcentral lists this ribosomal RNA (253 nucleotides) under uncultured bacterium. Its description in RNAcentral is "partial 16S ribosomal RNA". It matches the Rfam family "Bacterial small subunit ribosomal RNA", at positions 524 to 776 of the family's 1533-position model. The record is from RNAcentral.